AGUGAACGCUGGCGGUAGGCCUAACACAUGCAAGUCGAACGGCAGCACAGUAAGAGCUUGCUCUUACGGGUGGCGAGUGGCGGACGGGUGAGGAAUACAUCGGAAUCUACUUUUUCGUGGGGGAUAACGUAGGGAAACUUACGCUAAUACCGCAUACGACCUACGGGUGAAAGCAGGGGAUCUUCGGACCUUGCGCGAUUGAAUGAGCCGAUGUCGGAUUAGCUAGUUGGCGGGGUAAAGGCCCACCAAGGCGACGAUCCGUAGCUGGUCUGAGAGGAUGAUCGGCCACACUGGAACUGAGACACGGUCCAGACUCCUACGGGAGGCAGCAGUGGGGAAUAUUGGACAAUGGGCGAAAGCCUGACCCAGCAAUACCGCGUGAGUGAAGAAGGUCUUCGGGUUGUAAAGCCCUUUUGUUGGGAAAGAAAAGCAGUAGGUUAAUACCCCGAUGUUCUGACGGUACCUAAAGAAUAAGCAACGGCUAACUUCGUG
Molecule: ribosomal RNA, 492 nt
Filed under: uncultured bacterium
Lineage: Bacteria
Description: partial 16S ribosomal RNA
Rfam family: Bacterial small subunit ribosomal RNA
Source: RNAcentral